AUGUUCAUCUUUUGUAUUUGAUGAUUAGUAAUGUAAAGAAAAGAAUGUAAAGCUUAUUUUGAGGUAAAUGUGAUGUAAGAAAGAAGUGAUGAAAUUAUGUAAUGAAAUGCAAAGAAUCCUAAAUGUAAGAGAUGGAUGCAAUGUAUAUGAUCUAAAAUGAAUCAUAUUACUUGUGAAUGUUUAGUUUCCUUUUUCUUUCACUAAUGGCUACUGCUUACCUUCGUG
Molecule: long non-coding RNA, 225 nt
Filed under: Ananas comosus (pineapple)
Lineage: Eukaryota; Viridiplantae; Streptophyta; Magnoliopsida; Poales; Bromeliaceae
Description: long non-coding RNA (ACOM_LNC027905)
Source: RNAcentral